Molecule: ribosomal RNA, 465 nt
Filed under: uncultured bacterium
Lineage: Bacteria
Description: partial 16S ribosomal RNA
Rfam family: Bacterial small subunit ribosomal RNA
Source: RNAcentral
GAUGAACGCUGGCGGCGUGCUUAACACAUGCAAGUCGAACGGAAAGGCGCCUACUUUCAUCGUUUCUCGAUUGGCGAACGGGGGAGUAUCACGUGUGUAAUCUGCCCUUCACUUCGGGAGAAGCCUUGGAAACUGGGGCGAAUACCGGAGAUGACCUCAUUAUCGGUAUGGUUGUAUAGAGUUUUUCGGUUUGGGAUUGGCUCGCAGCUUAUCAGCUUCUUGGUUAGGUAUUGGCAUACCAAGGCGUAGACGGGUGGCCGGCAUGGGAGGGUGUACGGCGACCUUGGGCCUGAGAGACGGCGCAGACGCAUACGGGAGGCAGUAGUGGAGAAUAUUGCAGAAUGGGGGCAAGCGUGAUGUAGCGACGCUGGGUGGGGGAUGCCGGCCUUCGGGUUGUAAACUAAUGUCGAUAGGGACGAAGCGCAAGUGACGGUACCUGGAGAAGAAGCACCGGCUAACUACGUG